GUGGUGUCAUUAUUAUCCUCAGCUGUCCCCGAUUACAUUCAUCAGGGGAGCAGACAUAAAGAGUGGGCAGCCAGUCCAGCGUCGCCUGAGUGUUGUGCCAGUCACGGUGAUCCCUUGGACGCUCUGGAUCCGUCGAUUAGAUCCUGGCUGUUUUAUACUGUUUUCAAAUAGGAAACCUUUGUGACGCCGUGGAACGUACCCACUGGUUGCCCGAGUUCCCAGACUCAUCUAUUCCGUUGCUUGCAAGAAGCUUCUGGACCCCGCAGCUGGCGGCCGUACCGCUCCACUGUGUCUCGUUUGCCUCCGAGCCUACCUGUCCUGUACCUACCACCCCAAGACUCGGAUCCAAGCACCACCAUGAACUAUUGCUGCACGUUACCGUUGAUUUCCCUGGACCAGAUCACUCUGAGACAUUCUGAUAAUUGUGUGAGCUGUAAUAUAAUCAUUUGAACUGA
Molecule: long non-coding RNA, 455 nt
Organism: Gambusia affinis (western mosquitofish)
Lineage: Eukaryota; Metazoa; Chordata; Actinopteri; Cyprinodontiformes; Poeciliidae
Exons: 3
Source: RefSeq, a predicted model, not a curated record